Molecule: ribosomal RNA, 406 nt
Filed under: uncultured bacterium
Lineage: Bacteria
Description: partial 16S ribosomal RNA
Rfam family: Bacterial small subunit ribosomal RNA
Source: RNAcentral
AUUGAACGCUGGCGGCAGGCCUAACACAUGCAAGUCGAGCGAGCGGCGGACGGGGGAGUAAUGUCUGGGAAACUGCCUGAGGGAGGGGGAUAACUACGGGAAACGGUAGCUAAUACCGCAUACCAUCAGAUGUGCCCAGAUGGGAUUAGCUAGUGGGUGGGGUAAUGGCUCACCUAGGCGACGAUCCCUAGCUGGUCUGAGAGGAUGACCAGCCAAACUGGAACUCAGACACGGUCCAGACUCCUACGUGAGGCAGCAGUGGGGAAUAUUGCACAAUGGGCGCAAGCCUGAUGCAGCCAUGCCGCGUGUAUGAAGAAGGCCUUCGGGUUGUAAAGUACUUUCAGCGUGGAGGCGUUACCCGCAGAAGAAGCACCGGCUAACUCCGUGCCAGCCGCCGCGGUAAUAC